RNAcentral lists this ribosomal RNA (430 nucleotides) under uncultured bacterium. RNAcentral describes it as "partial 16S ribosomal RNA". It matches the Rfam family "Bacterial small subunit ribosomal RNA", at positions 29 to 506 of the family's 1533-position model. The record is from RNAcentral.
AACGAACGCUGGCGGCAGGCUUAACACAUGCAAGUCGAGCGCCCCGCAAGGGGAGCGGCAGACGGGUGAGUAACGCGUGGGAACGUACCUUUUGGUUCGGAACAACUCCGGGAAACUGGAGCUAAUACCGGAUAAGCCCUAACGGGGAAAGAUUUAUCGCCGAAAGAUCGGCCCGCGUCUGAUUAGCUAGUUGGUGAGGUAACGGCUCACCAAGGCGACGAUCAGUAGCUGGUCUGAGAGGAUGAUCAGCCACACUGGGACUGAGACACGGCCCAGACCCCGGGGGGGGGCGGCAGGGGGGAAUAUUGGACAAGGGGCGCAAGCCUGAUCCGGCCAUGCCGGGGGAGUGAUGAAGGCCUUAGGGUUGAAAAGCUCUUUUGCCCGGGAAGAUAAUGCCUGUCCCGGAAAAAAAAGCCCCGGCUAACUUCGU